RNAcentral lists this ribosomal RNA (253 nucleotides) under uncultured bacterium. RNAcentral describes it as "partial 16S ribosomal RNA". It matches the Rfam family "Bacterial small subunit ribosomal RNA", at positions 524 to 776 of the family's 1533-position model. The record is from RNAcentral.
UACGAAGGGUGCAAGCGUUGUUCGGAAUCACUGGGCGUAAAGAAUGCGUAGGCGGCUUAAUAAGUCGGAAGUGAAAUCCCAGGGCUUAACCCUGGAACUGCUUUCGAAACUAUUUUGCUAGAGUCCCGGAGGGGUUAGCGGAAUUCCGAGUGUAGAGGUGAAAUUCGCAGAUAUUCGGAGGAACACCAGUGGCGAAGGCGGCUAACUGGACGGGAACUGACGCUGAGGCAUGAAAGUGUGGGGAUCAAACAGG